GAGGAGGGAGGGGGUGGCGUCGAUGACCUAUGAGAGAGGAAAAAAGAUGGUGUUAGGGAUGGGGAAGGCAGAGGCAGGGGCAUGGAAAAAAAUGAGUCACCAACACCUGCGAAGUCUGUGAGCGCAGCCUCCUUGAUUCCUUCCGCUUCUGCUCUCCCGGUUGCAAGAUUGUUGGCACAUCGAAGAAUUUCGAGAGGAAAAGAAAGUACUCGCUGGAGAAGAAGCUCUGGGCAGCGGCGUCGGACUCGAAGAAUUAAAAAAGAAAAAAUCCUCUGUUUUGUUGGUGGUCUAUCACUUUGUUGUUGUUAGAUGAAGGAGGUUAGAUGGAGGUGAUGGAUGUGGCGGGUAUGUGCGAAAGACAGGGUGGUGAGUUUGAUAGUCUGGGUGCCAGACUAUACUGGGUUUGGUAUGGUAGAAGCGGAUGGUGCUGAUGUUGGGAUUGGGUAUGGAUGAUUUUGGUGGUGGAGGUGGCAAUGGUGUGUUGCAAAGAGUCCUAGAGGAAGAAGAUGGUGAAAUAAGGAAUGGUAGUGAAAUGCCUAUAUUGCCCUUGAAA
Long non-coding RNA from Camellia sinensis, 553 nucleotides. RefSeq lists it as uncharacterized. Lineage: Eukaryota; Viridiplantae; Streptophyta; Magnoliopsida; Ericales; Theaceae. The record is from RefSeq and is a predicted model, not a curated record.